Molecule: ribosomal RNA, 586 nt
Filed under: Mylocheilus caurinus (peamouth chub)
Lineage: Eukaryota; Metazoa; Chordata; Actinopteri; Cypriniformes; Leuciscidae
Description: partial 16S ribosomal RNA
Rfam family: Bacterial large subunit ribosomal RNA
Source: RNAcentral
CAUCGCCUCCUGCAACUGGAUUGAGUAUAGGAGGUCCAGCCUGCCCAGUGACUACGGGUUCAACGGCCGCGGUAUUUUGACCGUGCAAAGGUAGCGCAAUCACUUGUCUCUUAAAUAGAGACCUGUAUGAAUGGCUAGACGAGGGCUUAACUGUCUCCCCCCUCCAGUCAGUGAAAUUGAUCUAUCCGUGCAGAAGCGGGUAUAACCGUACAAGACGAGAAGACCCUUUGGAGCUUAAGGUACAAAAUUCAACCACGUUAAACAACUCCAUAAGAAGCAAGAACUUAGUGGCAGAUGAAAUUUUACCUUCGGUUGGGGCGACCGCGGAGGAAAAAUAAGCCUCCGAGUGGACUGGGCCAAACCCCUAAAGCUAAAAGAAACAUCUAUAAGCCGCAGAACAUCUGACCAAAAAUGAUCCGACUAAAAAGCCGAUCAACGAACCAAGUUACCCUAGGGAUAACAGCGCAAUCCUCUCCCAGAGUCCAUAUCGACGAGGGGGUUUACGACCUCGAUGUUGGAUCAGGACAUCCUAAUGGUGCAGCCGCUAUUAAGGGUUCGUUUGUUCAACGAUUAAAGUCCUACGUGA